GACGAACGCUGGCGGCGUGCCUAAUACAUGCAAGUUGAGCGCUGAAGGUUGGUACUUGUACCAACUGGAUGAGCAGCGAACGGGUGAGUAACGCGUGGGGCAUCUGCCUUUGAGCGGGGGACAACAUUUGGAAACGAAUGCUAAUACCGCAUAAAAACUUUAAACACAAGUUUUAAGUUUGAAAGAUGCAAUUGCAUCACUCAAAGAUGAUCCCGCGUUGUAUUAGCUAGUUGGUGAGGUAAAGGCUCACCAAGGCGAGGAUACAUAGCCGACCUGAGAGGGGGGUCGGCCACAUUGGAGCUGGGACGCGGCCCAAAGUCCUACGGGAGGCAGCAGUAGGGAAUCUUCGGCAAUAGACGAAAGUCUGACCGAGCAACGCCGCGUGAGUGAAGAAGGUUCUCGGAUCGUAAAACUCUGUUGGUAGAGAAGAACGUUGGUGAGAGUGGAAAGCGCAUCAAGUGACGGUAACUACACAGAAAGGGACGGCUAACUACGUG
This 497-nucleotide ribosomal RNA is filed under the name uncultured bacterium. RNAcentral describes it as "partial 16S ribosomal RNA". It matches the Rfam family "Bacterial small subunit ribosomal RNA", at positions 28 to 507 of the family's 1533-position model. The record is from RNAcentral.